AUUGAACGCUGGCGGCAGGCCUAACUCAUGCAAGUCGAGCGGAGCGGCGGACGGGCGAGUAAUGCCUAGGACUCUGUCUGGUAGAGGGGGAUAACGUCCGGAAACGGGCGCUAAUACCGCAUACUAUCAGAUGAGCCUAGUUCGGUUUAGCUAGCUGGUGGGGUAAGGGCCUACCAAGGCGACGAUCCGUAACUGGGCUGAGAGGAUGAGCAGUCACACUGGGACUGAGACACGGUCCAGACUCCUACGGGAGGCAGCAGUGGGGAAUAUUGGACAAUGGGCGAAAGCCUGAUCCAGCCAUGCCGCGUGUGUGAAGAAGGUCUUCGGGUUGUAAAGCACUUUAAGUUGGGAGGCGUUACCAACAGAAGAAGCACCGGCUAACUACGUGCCAGCAGCCGCGGUAAUUC
This 407-nucleotide ribosomal RNA is filed under the name uncultured bacterium. RNAcentral describes it as "partial 16S ribosomal RNA". It matches the Rfam family "Bacterial small subunit ribosomal RNA", at positions 30 to 526 of the family's 1533-position model. The record is from RNAcentral.